UAAUCUAUAUCGCUUAAUCUGUAAUCAGAGCGGGGGAACCAAUUUGCGGCGGAUGCCGCUUGGGGUGAAUCCUUUUUCAGGUAGGGCCAACUCUCAUCAGCCCGAAUCCGACAGCUAACCUCGUAAGCGUUCAUGAGAGGAGAU
This 144-nucleotide small RNA is filed under the name Bacillus amyloliquefaciens. RNAcentral's name for it is "c-di-AMP sequence". It matches the Rfam family "c-di-AMP riboswitch aptamer (ydaO/yuaA leader)". Rfam says of the family: This family represents a conserved RNA structure found upstream of the ydaO and yuaA genes in Bacillus subtilis and related genes in other bacteria. The ydaO/yuaA element is thought to act as a genetic "off" switch for the ydaO and yuaA genes in its native state. The record is from RNAcentral. Lineage: Bacteria; Bacillati; Bacillota; Bacilli; Caryophanales; Bacillaceae.